UUACUAUAGCUCAGCUGGUAAAGCAUGAAAUUCUUAAUCUCUGAGUCAUGGGUUCGAGCCCCACAUCGGUCAAAA
Podarcis lilfordi (Lilford's wall lizard) is the source of this 75-nucleotide non-coding RNA. The record is from the annotation of a GenBank genome assembly. NCBI's taxonomy places the organism in Eukaryota, Metazoa, Chordata, Lepidosauria, Squamata, Lacertidae.